CAUUAAUUAAAAAACUCUAUCUUGCUCAGGUAUAAAGAGAAAGUGCCCCCUCAUGGCUGGGGCUACCAGCUCCCUUAGGGAUGAUGCUUGUUCCCAGGACAGGAGUGUGGAUAAUUCCUUAGCUACUAAAGUGACAUAAAGAGCAGAGUUUGAGUGCAAGCUCUGACCAGCUUGAGAAAAAUUUAAAGAUUAAGUAGAAAUAAUUAAGUAAAAAUGACUUCAAAUUAUUUAAAACCAAACAACAAUAACAAAACUCCAAUUAUCUGAAAAUGUUCCUGACAAAGCAGAAAACAUUCCAAGUUAAUUGGAGCUGAGAUGCCACAGGUGAGCCGCUUUCCUCCAUCAUACCUUUCCACCAUCAUGUUUCUGCCUUGCAGCCAGUCAGUCAUGGUCUGAAACUUGUGGCACAAAGCAAGAAGGGGUUUUCUGGUCGCUGAGAGUUGUGUGCCUCAUCAAGGAGUUGCUUUGCUGGAUGAACAACCAGGCAAUUGCAAAAUCAAGAAUGAGGAUGAUCAGAGAAGAGUUUGUAUGAAUUUGAUGGCAAGUAGGAGUGGGUGCAUAGAGAGGCAGCCAACCUAGUUGAGUAAUUUUCUCAGAAGAGGAACUACCUGUACUGAAAUGGAAAUCAUUAUUCUUGCCAAAUAUCUCUCAGUGUUCCAGGACAAAUCAACACAAACAACCUUACCAAACAGUUUUAUGUUAAUUAUUUCAG
Heterocephalus glaber (naked mole-rat) is the source of this 712-nucleotide long non-coding RNA. The record is from Ensembl. NCBI's taxonomy places the organism in Eukaryota, Metazoa, Chordata, Mammalia, Rodentia, Bathyergidae.